Long non-coding RNA from Onychostoma macrolepis, 311 nucleotides. RefSeq lists it as uncharacterized. The record is from RefSeq and is a predicted model, not a curated record. NCBI's taxonomy places the organism in Eukaryota, Metazoa, Chordata, Actinopteri, Cypriniformes, Cyprinidae. The transcript is spliced from 3 exons.
GUGUUUCGAGAGUUCUCCUGUGUGGCCUGAAUGUCCUUCUGCAAUUCCAGCUGCACUUGUUCCACCAUAAAGCGAACUUCUGAAAUUAAGCUAUCGUGUUCAAAAAUUGCUGAUGGGUGGAUUCCAUUUUUGCAGCCAGCUUUGCAAACGUUGCAUCGUGCAGAGAAAUGGAUUUUGCAGAUUCUUGGGAGUGGGAAGGUGGCCUGGCAGGCGAUGCUGUGACACUUAGGAAGGUGAUACAGUUUCAGUGGAGGUGCAGAGUUCCAUAGGAUCCGGCUGAAAUAAAGCAGCGCCACCUGGAGGUGCGGAGG